RNAcentral lists this non-coding RNA (163 nucleotides) under Gambierdiscus australes. Lineage: Eukaryota; Dinophyceae; Gonyaulacales; Pyrocystaceae. The record is from RNAcentral.
CUGCCCGGUGGCCCAAGCAUCCAGCCCUACGUUCCGUGCGCUCCAGGGCAACGGCCAGCGCCUUUCAACCCAGCAGCAGCACCCAACUUCCAGCGCGCCGUGGGCGGUCCUGCGCCAACGAAUGCUGUUGGGACGCGCGGCUUGGUGGAGCAGGUUGCCAAAG